GGAGGGUCCGUGGCUCACUGGUAGAGCGUUGGCUUGGCAUGCAGAAGGUCCCCGGUUCAGUCCCUGGCAUUUCUA
RNAcentral lists this transfer RNA (75 nucleotides) under Sphaerodactylus townsendi. RNAcentral's name for it is "tRNA-Ala". The record is from RNAcentral. Lineage: Eukaryota; Metazoa; Chordata; Lepidosauria; Squamata; Sphaerodactylidae.